GAUGAACGCUGGCGGCGUGCUUAACACAUGCAAGUCGAACGAAGCGAUUUAGCGGAAGUUUUCGGAUGGAAGCUAGAUUGACUGAGUGGCGGACGGGUGAGUAACGCGUGGGUAACCUGCCUCACACUGGGGGACAACAGUUAGAAAUGACUGCUAAUACCGCAUAAGCGCACAGGGCCGCAUGGUCCGGUGUGAAAAACUCCGGUGGUGUGAGAUGGACCCGCGUUUGAUUAGCUAGUUGGUGGGGUAACGGCCUACCAAGGCGACGAUCAAUAGCCGACCUGAGAGGGUGACCGGCCACAUUGGGACUGAGACACGGCCCAAACUCCUACGGGAGGCAGCAGUGGGGAAUAUUGCACAAUGGGGGAAACCCUGAUGCAGCGACGCCGCGUGAGUGAAGAAGUAUUUCGGUAUGUAAAGCUCUAUCAGCAGGGAAGAAAAUGACGGUACCUGACUAAGAAGCCCCGG
Molecule: ribosomal RNA, 468 nt
Filed under: uncultured bacterium
Lineage: Bacteria
Description: bacterial SSU rRNA
Rfam family: Bacterial small subunit ribosomal RNA
Source: RNAcentral